CGUGAUUCCAGUCAAGUCACUGGUUCACCAAGCUCCAUGUGGAGGGCGAGGCUUCUAUGGUCUGCCAUUGGUCCCCUCACUGGGCCACAUAGACAACCAAAGACAGACAGCUCCAGCGACAACUGUCUAUUUGGAGGAGGCUCUGGAUGCAGCGGCUCCAGAAGGAGGUCACAGCAGCAGCCACGGGCACCAAUGUGAUUCCCUCAGGCUCCGCACUCAAAGGACAGCAAACAGGAGAAGAAAAAUGAGAAGAGGGAAAGAUGGCGAUUGGCCCCAGGACUGUUUCCUUGGCUUUAGAGUUAAGAAAAAGAUCCCUCAGUCAGCCUGGAUCUACUAACAAGGACUGAAGAGAGACGAUUUGUGUGUG
Long non-coding RNA from Mus caroli (Ryukyu mouse), 367 nucleotides. RefSeq lists it as uncharacterized. The record is from RefSeq and is a predicted model, not a curated record. NCBI's taxonomy places the organism in Eukaryota, Metazoa, Chordata, Mammalia, Rodentia, Muridae.